UACGUAGGGGGCAAGCGUUGUCCGGAAUCAUUGGGCGUAAAGCGCGUGUAGGCGGCUCGAUAAGUCUGCUGUGAAAGUCCAGGGCUCAACCCUGGGAUGCCGGUGGAUACUGUCGAGCUCGAGUCCGGAAGAGGCGAGUGGAAUUCCUGGUGUAGCGGUGAAAUGCGCAGAUAUCAGGAGGAACACCAAUGGCGAAGGCAGCUCGCUGGGACGGUACUGACGCUGAGACGCGAAAGCGUGGGGAGCGAACAGG
RNAcentral lists this ribosomal RNA (253 nucleotides) under uncultured bacterium. Its description in RNAcentral is "partial 16S ribosomal RNA". It matches the Rfam family "Bacterial small subunit ribosomal RNA", at positions 524 to 776 of the family's 1533-position model. The record is from RNAcentral.